AGUGAACGCUGGCGGUAGGCCUAACACAUGCAAGUCGAACGGCAGCACAGUAAGAGCUUGCUCUUACGGGUGGCGAGUGGCGGACGGGUGAGGAAUACAUCGGAAUCUACUUUUUCGUGGGGGAUAACGUAGGGAAACUUACGCUAAUACCGCAUACGACCUACGGGUGAAAGCAGGGGAUCUUCGGACCUUGCGCGAUUGAAUGAGCCGAUGUCGGAUUAGCUAGUUGGCGGGGUAAAGGCCCACCAAGGCGACGAUCCGUAGCUGGUCUGAGAGGAUGAUCGGCGACACUGGAAGGGGGACAAGGUCAAGACGCCUACGGGAGGCAGCAGUGGGGAAGAUGGGGCAAUGGGCGCAAGCCUGAUACAAACAUACCGCGUGGGUGAAAAAGACCUUGGGGUUGGAAAGCCCUUUUGUUGGGAAAGAAAAGAAGCAGGUUAAGACCCCGCUGUUCUGACGGUACCCGAAGAAUAAGCACCGGCUAACUUCGUG
RNAcentral lists this ribosomal RNA (492 nucleotides) under uncultured bacterium. RNAcentral describes it as "partial 16S ribosomal RNA". It matches the Rfam family "Bacterial small subunit ribosomal RNA", at positions 29 to 507 of the family's 1533-position model. The record is from RNAcentral.